This 1631-nucleotide long non-coding RNA is filed under the name Homo sapiens (human). Its description in RNAcentral is "HSALNT0408086". Lineage: Eukaryota; Metazoa; Chordata; Mammalia; Primates; Hominidae. The record is from RNAcentral.
UUUUUUUUGUUUUUGAGAUGAAGUCUUGCUCUUGUCACCCAGGCUGGAGUGCAAUGGUGUGAUCUCGGCUCACUGCAACCUCGACCUCCCGGGUUCAAGUGAUCCGUCUGCCUCGGCCUCCCAAAGUGCUGGGAUUACAGGCGUGAGCCACCGCGCCCGGCCAUUCCUUAAUGUUUAACACCCAGUGCAUAUUCAGAUUUUCCCAGUUGUCCGCAGGAUGUCUUUUAUAGCUGCUUUCUUCAAACCAGGAUCUAUUCGGAGACCACACAUUGCAUUUGAUUUUUAUGUCUUUUGAGCCUUUUAAAAUUUAGAGCAGUUCCCUAUAACCCCUUCUUUUGUUUGUUUUAUGAAAUUGGCUUGUUGAACUUCACAAAACACGAGUUGGGGUCAUGCCAACUGUACCGUUAGUGAUUAGUUUACAUAUAGGGAAAAUAAUUUGUGAAUGUUGGUCCAUUCACUCUGCCAGCUAUACCAUGGCAGCAUUUCCAGUAUCAGGAAAGCAAACCAGGGGAUCUAAAACUGAGCAUUAAAAACUCUCCCCUAUCCAGUGAAAGAGAUAAGAAUGCCAGUUGUGAGAAAAUUGAAGGGGAAACGGAGAAUGUCAGUGUUAAAGAUAUUUGAACUUUUUUUUUUUAUCCAUUUGAAAGGUAUUUUUUUUGGGUGAACUAUUUGUUAAUAUUCUUGGUCCUGUAAAAAAAAAAUUGGUGUUUGGACUUUUUCUUAUUGUAGACACUCUUCAUAAAUUAAGGAAAUUCGCCUUUUUUUGUUAUAAUAUUGCAGACUUUUUUUUUUUUUGAGAUGGAGUCUUGCUCUGUCGCCAGGCUGGAGUGCAGUGGCACGAUCUUGGCUCACUGCAACCUCCGCCUCCCAGGUUCAAGCGAUUCUCCUGCCUCAGCCUCCCGCGUAGCUGGGACUACAGGCGUGUGGCACCAUGCCCAGCUAAUUUUUGUAUUUUUAGUAGAGAUGGGGUUUUACCAUGUUGGCCAGGAUGGUCUCGAUCUCUUGACCUUUUGAUCCGCCCGCCUUGGCCUCCGAAAGUGGUGGGAUUACAGGCAUGAGCCACUGCACCCGGCCUGCAGAUAUUUUUUUCAGUUAGCUACUUUUCUUUUCACUUUAUAGUAUUUUUUUACUUAAUUGUGGCACAAUACACAUUAGUGUUUUAGCCAUUUUAAAGUAUACAAUUUAGUGGCAUUUCAUACAUUCACAGUGUUGUGCAUCCAUCACUGCUGUCUAGUUCCAACAGAUUUUAAUCACUUCUAAAAGAAACCCUGUACUCAUUCCCUUUGCCCUCUAUCCCAUGGCUACUAAUUUGCUUUCUGUUUAUGGAUUUGCCUGUUCUGAAUAUUGUAUACAAGUGGGAUCAUAUAUAGUAGACCCUUGAGGAAUGGGGGGGUUAGGGUCACCAACCCCUCAUACAGUCAAAUCUGCAUAAAAUUUUUAAUUCCACCAAAACUUAACUAAUAGCCUACUGUUGACUGGAAGCCUUACCAAUAACAUAGUCAAUUAACACAUACUUUCUAUGGUAAUUUAUUAUCUACUAUAUUCUUGCAAUUAGCUAGAGAAGAAAAUGUUAUUAAAAAUCAGAAGGAAGAGAGAGUAUAUUUACGAUUCAUUAAAUGUAAGUGGAUCAU